AGAGUGCGUAAUAGCUCACUAGUCGAGAGGUCCUGCGCCGAAAAUGUCCGGGGCUGAAACACACUGCCGAAGCUCAGGAAUCUGCGAAUGCAGGUUGGUAGAGGAGCAUUCUUAAAGAGACGAAGCUGUACCGAAAGGAGCAGUGGAUUUUUAAGAAGAGAGAAUGCCGGAAUGAGUAGCGAGAAAGAGGUGAGAAUCCUCUUGGCCGAAUAUCUAAGGUUUCCAGGGUAAAGCUGAUCUGCCCUGGGUAAGUCGGGGCCUAAGGCGAGGUCGAAAGACGUAGUCGAUGGAUAACAGGUUGAAAUUCCUGUACUAUCCUGUAACAGAACUGUGGGGACGCAGACAGAGAGCACAAGCCGGGAAUGGAAAGACCGGUGCAAGCGAGGUAGGAGUACAUCAGGCAAAUCCGGUGUGCAAUCCGAAGACGUGAUGCGGAUCGAAAAGAAGUAGAGAAGUGUGUGAGCUGGCUGCCAAGAAAAGCCGCUAUUGUUUACAGGAUACCCGUACCGUAAACCGACACAGGUGGAUGAGGAGAGAAUCCUAAGGCCGACGGGAGAAGCAUUGUUAAGGAACUCGGCAAAAUGACUCCGUAACUUCGGGAGAAGGAGUGCCAUGCGAAUGGCCGCAGAGAAUUGGCCCAAGCAACUGUUUAGCAAAAACACAGGUCUAUGCGAAACCGAAAGGUGAGGUAUAUGGGCUGACGCCUGCCCGGUGCUGGAAGGUUAAGGGGAGAGGUUAGCGCAAGCGAAGCUUUGAACUUAAGCCCCAGUAAACGGCGGCCGUAACUAUAACGGUCCUAAGGUAGCGAAAUUCCUUGUCGGGUAAGUUCCGACCCGCACGAAAGGCGUAAUGAUUUGGGCACUGUCUCAACAAUGCACCCGGUGAAAUUGAAAUACCAGUGAAGAUGCUGGUUACCUGCGCCAGGACGGAAAGACCCCAUGGAGCUUUACUCUAGCUUGAUACUGGGAUUCGAUAUUGCAUGUACAGGAUAGGUGGGAGACUAGGAAGUGGUGACGCCAGUUGCCAUGGAGUCAAUGUUGGGAUACCACCCUUGCAGUAUUGGGUUUCUAACCAGCAGCCGUGAUCCGGCUGGGGGACAAUGUCAGGUGGGGAGUUUGACUGGGGCGGUCGCCUCCGAAAGGGUAUCGGAGGCGCUCAAAGGUUCCCUCAGAAUGGUUGGAAACCAUUCGAAGAGUGCAAAGGCAGAAGGGAGCUUGACUGCGACACCGACGGGUGGAGCAGGUACGAAAGUAGGACUUAGUGAUCCGGUGG
RNAcentral lists this ribosomal RNA (1272 nucleotides) under human gut metagenome. RNAcentral describes it as "bacterial LSU rRNA". It matches the Rfam family "Bacterial large subunit ribosomal RNA", at positions 1127 to 2426 of the family's 2925-position model. The record is from RNAcentral.